RNAcentral lists this long non-coding RNA (1341 nucleotides) under Manihot esculenta (cassava). Its description in RNAcentral is "long non-coding RNA (MESC_LNC011378)". Lineage: Eukaryota; Viridiplantae; Streptophyta; Magnoliopsida; Malpighiales; Euphorbiaceae. The record is from RNAcentral.
AACCUGUUUAAUCCCAUACAUGAUCAUACUCAUACAUAAAAUCUGUAAACUUUUUCUUUCAUUUACCAAGCUUAACAUAUGCAUACACAUACUCAUAAACAUAAACCCCACACUGGAGGCCUCAUCAAAUGCUCCAAUGGGGUAACAUAACAUACAUUAAACUUGGUUUACAUAAACAUUAUAAAAACACUACAUAGAUCAUGUGUAAAAGGGAUUAACUAUACAUACUAGGGUCAAACACAAUACUAAACCUCAAUAUACAUCAUUACAUUACAUGACUGUUCAAUACUUUACAUUACAAUAUUCUCAUGUCCACAACUAACUGACAGUGCGGUUGUCGAAGCCGGUCAAAAAUAACCUUCUUGGUUACCUACAAUUUACAAUUGCAGAUAGUGGUGAAGGAUCGUAUCCACAGAGAAUUGAUUACCUAUUUAUUUAUCUCAAUCAAGACCAAUAGAGCUAAUUGAAAGCACAAGUGAAAGCAAGUAAUUAAAGAGAAAUAGAAACAAGUGCAAGGAAAGUAAAAAAAAAGGGGGUUUUGAGAUUGAGUGUAGUAACUAAUAAUGAGAGUAAUAAUAGAAAGUAAAUAAUUAAAAUAAAAGGGGAAAUCAAUAUGAGAAAAGCCUAGUUGAAGAUAUGGAUCCACUUUGGUUGUUUGGAUUGAUCAUUAAAACUUAGAUUAUCUUGAUUGAUUCAAUAGAUUAGUUAUGGGGGUGGAAGACGCUUCUCACCACCAUGUCUCUCCUUAUGAUUAAAUUAAUUAGGGAACGUCCUCUAAUCAAUUACUAAUUAAUAAAUUGCCAAGGAACGUCCUUGGGCCAUAGGCAUCAAACAAUUGUCAAUUGCAUAAAGAAAUAGAGAGAUCCAAUCCUAGCUACCCAAACGUAUGGAGAUAACGCUAGAUCAUGCAAUUCCUUGGUUUUUACACCAAGUGUUCUAAGGUCAGAAUAUUUCCAGUAAUUACGGACUAAAAAUAAUCCCAACUAACAAUCAAUUAACUUUACAAUUAAAAUCAAGUGGCCAAUUUGAUCAAAACAACAAAGUAAUCAUAUAAUUAAAGCAUCAAUUGCAUGAAUAUUGAACAAAACCAAAGACAAUAAUUUAUGUUCAGAUCUCACAACCCAUUAAACAACCUUAGUUUCAACCAAUCCUCAACUAGAAUUAAGAAAAUCAGCCACUCAUUGACUGAAUUGAAAACAGAAAAAUAAAAGGAAAAGAAAAGAACCGAAAAUUGGAUUCUGCCCUUUUGCGCCGAGCACUGCCGAAUUGGAGAGAUGAGAAUUGAAAUUGUCUCCUCUCUGUCACCGGUUGGCUCUUUAAAUAGAGCAGAGGAGCAAUGCU